This 230-nucleotide ribosomal RNA is filed under the name uncultured bacterium. RNAcentral describes it as "partial 16S ribosomal RNA". It matches the Rfam family "Bacterial small subunit ribosomal RNA", at positions 15 to 236 of the family's 1533-position model. The record is from RNAcentral.
GAUCAUGGCUCAGGAUGAACGCUAGCUACAGGCUUAACACGUGCAAGUCGAGGGGCAGCAUGACGAUAGCUUGCUAUUGUUGAUGGCGACCGGCGCACGGGUGAGUAACGCGUAUCCAACCUUCCCGUUGCUAGGGGAUAACCUUGCGAAAGUAAGACUAAUACCCUAUGAUGUUCUUCGCAGGCAUCUAAAGAGAACGAAAGAUUUAUCGGCAACGGAUGGGGAUGCGU